GACGAACGCUGGCGGCGUGCUUAACACAUGCAAGUCGAACGCUGAAGCUUGGUGCUUGCACUGGGUGGAUGAGUGGCGAACGGGUGAGUAAUACGUGAGUAACCUGCCCUUGACUCUGGGAUAAGCCUGGGAAACUGGGUCUAAUACUGGAUACGACAUGUCACCGCAUGGUGGUGUGUGGAAAGGGUUUUACUGGUUUUGGAUGGGCUCACGGCCUAUCAGCUUGUUGGUGGGGUAAUGGCUCACCAAGGCGACGACGGGUAGCCGGCCUGAGGGGGUGACCGGCCACACUGGGACUGAGACACGGCCCAGACUCCUACGGGAGGCAGCAGUGGGGAAUAUUGCACAAUGGGCGGAAGCCUGAUGCAGCGACGCCGCGUGAGGGAUGACGGCCUUCGGGUUGUAAACCUCUUUCAGCACGGAAGAAGCGAAAGUGACGGUACGUGCAGAAGAAGCGCCGGCUAACUACGU
RNAcentral lists this ribosomal RNA (471 nucleotides) under uncultured bacterium. RNAcentral's name for it is "partial 16S ribosomal RNA". It matches the Rfam family "Bacterial small subunit ribosomal RNA", at positions 28 to 506 of the family's 1533-position model. The record is from RNAcentral.